Molecule: non-coding RNA, 29 nt
Filed under: Rattus norvegicus (Norway rat)
Lineage: Eukaryota; Metazoa; Chordata; Mammalia; Rodentia; Muridae
Source: RNAcentral
UACUGGCAAUGGGUGUCAAUGCUGUCAGG